This 107-nucleotide small nucleolar RNA is filed under the name Thalictrum thalictroides. Its description in RNAcentral is "Plant small nucleolar RNA R71". It matches the Rfam family "Plant small nucleolar RNA R71". From Rfam's summary of the family: R71 is a member of the C/D box family of snoRNAs containing the C (UGAUGA) and D (CUGA) box motifs. Multiple nearly identical copies of this snoRNA have been identified in Arabidopsis, and it is thought to function as a 2'-O-ribose methylation guide for 18S ribosomal RNA. The record is from Rfam by way of RNAcentral. Lineage: Eukaryota; Viridiplantae; Streptophyta; Magnoliopsida; Ranunculales; Ranunculaceae.
AUUUGAUGAUGUGGACAUUGAAUUUGUAACUCUCCGAAUCUUUCCCAAGCUUCAUAGAAUUGUUCAGUAUGUUUUUGCUUGAAAGUUUGAAUUCUAUUUCUAAGUUC